Molecule: ribosomal RNA, 407 nt
Filed under: uncultured bacterium
Lineage: Bacteria
Description: partial 16S ribosomal RNA
Rfam family: Bacterial small subunit ribosomal RNA
Source: RNAcentral
AUUGAACGCUGGCGGCAGGCCUAACACAUGCAAGUCGAGCGGAGCGGCGGACGGGUGAGUACUGCCUAUGAAUCUGCCUGGUAGUGGGGGAUAACGUCCGGAAACGGGCGCUAAUACCGCAUACUAUCAGAUGAGUCUAGGUCGGAUUAGCUAUUUGGUGGGGUAAAGGCCUACCAAGGCGACGCUCCGUAACUGGUCCGAGCGGAUGAUCAGUCACACUGGGACUGAGACACGGUCCAGACUCCUAAGUGAGUCAGCAGUGGGGAAUAUUGGACAAUGGGCGAAAGCCUGGUCCAGCCAUGCCGCGUGUGUGAAGAAGGGCUUCGGAUUGUAAAGCACUUGAGGUUGGGAAGCGGUACCCACAGAAUAAGCACCGGCUAACUUCGUGCCAGCAGCCGCGGUAAUAC